CUCAAAUUUAUUUAUUUAUUUAUUUAUUUAGCUUUGCCAACUAGGACAGGGUCACCACAACAGCAUAUGCCAAUUACUGUGGGCCCUUUUUUACCUAACCCACCCUGUCAACUUUCCCUGUGGGAGGAAACCGGAGUACCCGGGGAAAACCCACGGCUUUCGGCAGAGCGUUGACUUUUACUCUUUUCACAUGGGGACUGGGUUCGAGUCGCACUGAGAAGGUACUUAGUGAGACUCGAACCUGCAGCCCCAGAGGUGAAAGGCAAGUGCGCUAACCACUUGGCCACCGAAGC
Paramuricea clavata is the source of this 293-nucleotide non-coding RNA. NCBI's taxonomy places the organism in Eukaryota, Metazoa, Cnidaria, Anthozoa, Malacalcyonacea, Plexauridae. The record is from the annotation of a GenBank genome assembly.